CUAAUACCCCAUAACAACGAGGGCCGCAUGACCCAUGUUUGAAAGUUACGGCGGAUACGGAUUGGCUCGCGUGACAUUAGCUGGUUGGCGGGGUAACGGCCCACCAAGGCUACGAUGUCUAGGGGUUCUGAGAGGAAGGUCCCCCACACUGGAACUGAGACACGGUCCAGACUCCUACGGGAGGCAGCAGUGAGGAAUAUUGGUCAAUGGGCGCAAGCCUGAACCAGCCAUGCCGCGUGCAGGAAUGAGGCCCUAUGGGUCGUAAACUGCUUUUGCUGCGGAGCAAUAAGUGCUACGUGUAACACGAUGAGAGUACGCAGCGAAUAAGCAUCGGCUAACUCCGUGCCAGCAGCCGCGGUAAUACGGAGGAUGCGAGCGUUAUCCGGAUUUAUUGGGUUUAAAGGGUGCGUAGGCUGUUCGUCAAGUCAGUGGUGAAAUGCCGGGGCUCAACCCCGGAGCUGCCAUUGAUACUGUCGGGCUUGAAUCSUGCUGCCGUGGGAGGAAUGAGUAGUGUAGCGGUGAAAUGCAUAGAUAUUACUCAGAACACCGAUUGCGAAGGCAUCUCACGAAACAGGCAUUGACGCUGAGGCACGAAAGCGUGGGGAUCAAACAGGAUUAGAUACCCUGGUAGUCCACGCAGUAAACGAUGAUGACUAACCGCUGGCGAUAUAGUGUCAGUGGCCAAGCGAAAGCGAUAAGUCAUCCACCUGGGGGAGUACGACCGCAAGGUUGAAACUCAAAGGAAUUGACGGGGGCCCGCACAAGCGGAGGAACAUGUGGUUUAAUUCGAUGAUACGCGAGGAACCUUACCCGGGCUCGAACGGUGCAGGAAGGAUCUAGAGAUAGUGACGCCCUUCGGGGCCUGCAUCGAGGUGCUGCAUGGUUGUCGUCAGCUCGUGUCGUGAGAUGUUGGCUCAAGUGCCAUAACGAGCGCAACCCUUGCCGCCAGUUACCAUCAAGUGAAGUUGGGGACUCUGGCGGGACUGCCACCGUAAGGUGUGAGGAAGGCGGGGAUGACGUCAAAUCAGCACGGCCCUUACGUCCGGGGCGACACACGUGUUACAAUGACGCCUACA
RNAcentral lists this ribosomal RNA (1076 nucleotides) under uncultured bacterium. Its description in RNAcentral is "bacterial SSU rRNA". It matches the Rfam family "Bacterial small subunit ribosomal RNA", at positions 163 to 1241 of the family's 1533-position model. The record is from RNAcentral.